UACGUAGGGUGCAAGCGUUACUCGGAAUUCCUGGGCGUAAAGCGUGCGCAGGCGGUUAUUUAAGGCAGGUUUGAAAUCCCCGGGCUUAACCUGGGAACUGCAUUUGUGACUGCAUAGCUAGAGUACGGUAGAGGGGGAUGGAAUUCCGCGUGUAGCAGUGAAAUGCGUAGAUAUGCGGAGGAACACCGAUGGCGAAGGCAAUCCCCUGGACCGGUACUGACGCUCAUGCACGAAAGCGUGGGGAGCAAACAGG
Molecule: ribosomal RNA, 253 nt
Filed under: uncultured bacterium
Lineage: Bacteria
Description: partial 16S ribosomal RNA
Rfam family: Bacterial small subunit ribosomal RNA
Source: RNAcentral